GUAGGGUGCGAGCGUUAAUCGGAAUUACUGGGCGUAAAGCGUGCGCAGGCGGUUCUGCAAGUCAGAUGUGAAAUCCCCGGGCUUAACCUGGGAACUGCGUUUGAAACUACGGAGCUAGAGUACGGCAGAGGGGGGUGGAAUUCCACGUGUAGCAGUGAAAUGCGUAGAUAUGUGGAGGAACACCGAUGGCGAAGGCAGCCCCCUGGGCCGAUACUGACGCUCAGGCACGAAAGCGUGGGGAGCAAACAGGAUUAGAUACCCUGGUAGUCCACGCCCUAAACUAUGUCAACUAGUUGUCGGGAAAGCAAUUUCUUGGUAACGAAGCUAACGCGUGAAGUUGACCGCCUGGGGAGUACGGUCGCAAGAUUA
Molecule: ribosomal RNA, 369 nt
Filed under: uncultured bacterium
Lineage: Bacteria
Description: bacterial SSU rRNA
Rfam family: Bacterial small subunit ribosomal RNA
Source: RNAcentral